GAUGCUAUAGUUGUGUGAAUGAUCUUUUGACCUGCAAUGGUAUGACUACUUACAGUGAAGCUGCUGAAGUUUGACGGAUACAUAAACAUAGUCUCAAUGAACCCUUGUAGUGGAUGUUGGUGAUAGUUGGUCCAUUAUAAGAGUAGGAUGUGCAUUAAGAUAGAAUCUAUCGAUCUUGAUAGAAAAGAGUAAUCCUAUGAGAUUUGAGAGACUAAAUUCGAGAGUCUGUGACCACAGCGGUGUGAUUCAUGAAAAAGAGUUUCCAUAAGGAUCACAGUUGGACUUAAGCUGAUCGAAUCUAUCAUAUAAUUGAUGAUGAAAUUUGACGAUUUAUCCAUGACCUACCAUCUAGUUGGGACUCACGAUAGAGGGAUUGAAUCAUACAUGAACUAUACCUUGAGAUUUUUUUUUUGGUUCUACUGGGUUGCCACUAUGUAGUGCUAGGUAUUACUGGUGGAUUGUGAGAGCUCACUAGGGUUGCUCAGGAUCGACAAUCCUUGAUGAGUUAAAGUAGAAUUAUUUCGAUCCAUUAAAAAGAGUUUCAAUGAUACUAUGAUAGAGAUCAUUGUAUAUCUUACUAUCAGAUAGAAG
Molecule: long non-coding RNA, 591 nt
Filed under: Elaeis guineensis (African oil palm)
Lineage: Eukaryota; Viridiplantae; Streptophyta; Magnoliopsida; Arecales; Arecaceae
Description: long non-coding RNA (EGUI_LNC073768)
Source: RNAcentral